UACGAGGGAUGCAAGCGUUAUCCGGAAUUAUUGGGCGUAAAGCGUUUGUAGGCGGGCGAGUGUGUUUAAUGUUAAAUCUUAAAGCUCAACUUUGAAAUUGCGUUAAAAACUGCUUGUCUUGAGCAUGGUAGGGGUAAAGGGAAUUCCCAGUGUAGCGGUGAAAUGCGUAGAUAUUGGGAAGAACACUAAACAGCGAAGGCACUUUACUAGGCUAAUACUGACGCUGAGAAACGAAAGGUAAGGUAGCGAAACGGAUUAGAUACCCGUGUAGUCUUACCCGUAAACUAUGGACACUAAACGGUAAAUUUUUAAUUUACUGUUAUAGCUAACGCGUUAAGUGUCCCGCCUGGGGAGUAUGCUUGCAAAAGUGAAACUCAAAGGAAUUGACGGGGGCCCGCACAAGCGGUGGAGCAUGUGGUUUAAUUCGACGGUACACGAAGAACCUUACCAGGAUUUGACAUGCUAGAUAGUUGCUUGAAAGAGUAACGUGCCGUAAGGAAUCUAGACACAGGUGGUGCAUGGCUGUCGUCAGUUCGUGUUGUGAAAUGUUGGGUUAAGUCCCGCAACGAACGCAACCCUUGUCUUUAGUUAUUUUCUAAAGAGACUGCCUGUAAUAAACAGGAGGAAGGUAAGGAUGAGGUCAAGUCAUCAUGCCCCUUAUGUCCUGGGCUACACACGUGCUACAAUGGGAAAGACAAUGAGCUGCAAAUCUGUAAAUUUAAGCAAAUCUCUUAAACUUUCUCGUAGUUCGGAUUGUGGGCUGCAACUCGCCCACAUGAAGUUGGAAUCGCUAGUAAUCGCCAGUCAGCUAUAUGGCGGUGAAUCCGUUCCCGGGCCU
RNAcentral lists this ribosomal RNA (838 nucleotides) under uncultured bacterium. RNAcentral describes it as "bacterial SSU rRNA". It matches the Rfam family "Bacterial small subunit ribosomal RNA", at positions 524 to 1381 of the family's 1533-position model. The record is from RNAcentral.